This 520-nucleotide long non-coding RNA is filed under the name Ananas comosus (pineapple). RNAcentral describes it as "long non-coding RNA (ACOM_LNC001106)". Lineage: Eukaryota; Viridiplantae; Streptophyta; Magnoliopsida; Poales; Bromeliaceae. The record is from RNAcentral.
CUACUUUAAGUACAGAUUAUGUGUAACAUACCAAAUUUUAGUAUAAAAAUAAAAAUAAAUAAAAAUAGUGUGAGAAACUAUUUUUAUUGAAUUUAGAGAAGUAAAACAUAAGUCAGAAAUGAUUUAUGCUGAAAUCGGAAUGAAAACAGAAAAUUUAGAAUUUUCUAUUAGAAACGAGACAGAUAAAUUAGUAGAAAAUAUACAGUAUCAGAAAAUUCUGAAAAUUGGAGGAUAAGCCAGAAUUAUUUUUAUGAGGCUAGAUUUAAAGUUUCAUGUCAUUCUGACACCCGGAAGAUAGAAAAUAAAAUCCGACAGCUAUCUGAUAAAUAUUACAGUUCGGUACAGCUUUCGGUGACCAAACCGAAUCGAAACUAAAAUAUUAAAAUUUUUUUGGACUCGUUAAGUAAAACCGAAUAUAACUGUCAAAUUUGAGCUCAAACAGAUGUUCAGGGAGUUCCGACGAAAAAUACCAAAUUUCGAACUGCCCGAAAAUGAAUAGUGCUUUGGGGUGUAAUGUAUU